This 601-nucleotide long non-coding RNA is filed under the name Homo sapiens (human). Its description in RNAcentral is "HSALNT0315803". The record is from RNAcentral. Lineage: Eukaryota; Metazoa; Chordata; Mammalia; Primates; Hominidae.
GGUGAAAAGAUAUAUAUAUAUAUAUAUUCAGAAUUAGGCAGCUGGACUCAGUUUAGAUGAUCCCAAUUUUGUUGGCAACAUCCAAAGCAUCGUAAUCAGGAGCCAGUCGAACAUAUGCCUUCUUCUCUCCAUCAGGCCGAAUCAGGAUGUUGACCUUGGCCACAUCAAUGUCAUAGAGCUUCUUCACAGCCUGUUUAAUCUGGUGCUUGUUGGCUUUAACAUCCACAAUGAACACAAGUGUGUUGUUGUCUUCUAUCUUCUUCAUGGCAGACUCAGUGGUCAGCGGAAACUUGAUGAUAGCAUAGUGGUCAAGCUUGUUUCUCCUGGGAGCGCUCUUCCGAGGAUAUUUGGGCUGUCUCCGGAGUCGCAGUGUCUUCGGCCGCCGGAAGGUGGGUGACGUGCGGAUCUUCUUCUUUUUGUGGCUGUGGACACCUUUCAACACUGCCUUCUUGGCCUUUAAAGCCUUCGCUUUGGCUUCAGCUUUAGGAGGGGCAGGAGCUUCCUUCUUCGCUUUCGGCGCCAUGUUGUGAAAAGGGUCCAUAUGCUGUGUUUUAAGCUUCAAAUAUGUGGAUGUUUUCUUGGCUUUGUGCUAUUUUAAUUA